UAUUAUUUUGACCAUAGGUAUACUUGUACAUAUGAAGUUAAGUGUCAAUUCGAAAUUCUGAGUAUGCUGUUUUUGUCUACUCGACUAGGUUCACGACUUGUCCAAACCUUAAAAAAAAUUUAGGAAAAUGAAA
Rhagoletis zephyria (snowberry fruit fly) is the source of this 133-nucleotide long non-coding RNA. RefSeq lists it as uncharacterized. Lineage: Eukaryota; Metazoa; Arthropoda; Insecta; Diptera; Tephritidae. The record is from RefSeq and is a predicted model, not a curated record.